AUGUUGAAUAAUUAUAGAUUUUCUUUGAACUCAUGUUUGGUUAUUUUUGUUGUAGUAUUGGUAGUUGUUCCAAGAGUUGAGUCCAUUAGAGACUUCAAAAGCUUGUUUGAAAGCCAGUUACCAAAAGGGCCAGUUCCACCAUCUGCACCUUCUCAAUGCCACAAUAAAGUUAGCCCUUUCGAAGAUAAGAAAGCUUCAUUCCCUGAUGAUUACUAUAUUGAUUGUCCAUAG
This is a non-coding RNA of Vicia faba (fava bean), 231 nucleotides long. The record is from the annotation of a GenBank genome assembly. Lineage: Eukaryota; Viridiplantae; Streptophyta; Magnoliopsida; Fabales; Fabaceae.